RNA transcript from Capsicum annuum, 1649 nucleotides. It is a transcript of the gene named probable UDP-3-O-acylglucosamine N-acyltransferase 2, mitochondrial, with no coding region annotated. The transcript has 11 exons. Lineage: Eukaryota; Viridiplantae; Streptophyta; Magnoliopsida; Solanales; Solanaceae. The record is from RefSeq and is a predicted model, not a curated record.
AUGGCAUAUAACUAUCUCCAUAAUUGUGUCAUGAAAUUAGAACAAGUCUUCAUUUAGUUAUUCCCUCCAUCUCGUAUUAGUUGAUCGAUCUUACUAAAAAAAAUUACUUAUAUCAUAUUAAUUAAGAUCACCUUAAAUACUCUAAUAUCUCACAUAUUGCAAACUUGUUUGACUAAUACAAACUUGUUUACUUACCAUUAGAUUAGUGUUAACUUAGUCAUCAACUACUUCAACAUUAUGGCAUCUCACCUAAAAAGAUUAACUUAUAUUCCUACACUUUCCUCUAUAUCUACACUAAUUUGUAGCAAAUCUUACACUAGUAAAGUUAAAAAUUUAUUAGCCCCAACACUCAUAUCAACAAUUAUUUAUUCCAAAUGUAUGUCUACAAACCAAACAACAACUUCAAAUAACAGUCCAGGUACUACAGUGCACCUCAAAUGUGCUCUGGAUUCAAAUUUUGAGAAUGGUGGUGAAAAUGAUCGACAAGAUUACUACAGAUGGAGCAAUGGGGGUGGGACUUUUCACAAGUCCGCUAGCAUUGAUCCGUCUGCUUUUGUAGAAGUUGGCGCUGUAGUACAUUCAGAAUGUGCGGUGGGUGCAGAUUGUCACAUUGACUCCGGAGCAAUCAUUGGACCUACUGUCACACUAGGCCAUUCAACGAAAAUAGGAUACAAUGUUGCAUUGGCUAAUUGCAUGAUUGGUGACUUCUGCGUUAUCCACAGCGGGGUCUGCAUUGGUCAAGAUGGUUUUGGAUUUUAUGUAGAUGAGCAAGGAAAUAUGGUGAAAAAACCUCAAAUCCUGAAGGCGAGAAUAGAAAACCAUGUAGAAAUAGGUGCAAAUACAUGUAUCGAUAGGGGCAGUUGGAGAGAUACAGUAGUUGGAGAACAUACAAAGAUCGAUAAUUUAGUUCAGAUAGGUCACAAUGUAGUGAUUGGGAGAAGCUGCCUCAUUUGUGGACAAGUUGGCGUAGCGGGUUCAGUGACUAUAGGUGACUAUGUAACUUUAGGAGGAAGAGUUGGGAUACGUGAUCAUGUAAACAUCGUCUCAAAGGUCAGGUUAGCUGCAAAUAGCUGCGUCACCAAGGAUAUAAGUGAGCCCGGAGAUUAUGGUGGCUUUCCUGCUUUAAUGUGGCUAAAUGCAGAUUCCAAUACGUGAUUGGCGAAGACAAAUUGCUAAACAUCGUCAAAACUUGAAGUAAGAAUUCCAUUCGAAUGCUGACCCCAUACCGCAACAGUCCACCACCUUGGCCUAAAGCAGGAACAGAGAAGUCAUUGAGGAAAAUUCGCGGCCGAUGAGGACGAAGACUUAGCCAUAAGAUAAAUGUGAUGAGCCCAACAAUUGCAAGAAGGCCUAAGAAUACAGAACAUAUUAACUUUGACACUCUUGUGGUUAGACUUUCUUUAACUCUAUGGGCAUAAUAGCUAGCACUAUGGUGUCGCCUUAUAGGGCGAUCUUGAUCAUCGCGGCCAUAUACGGGUAAGUCUGGCCUAGAUUGGUGCAUUUUUUGAGUUUUUUUUUUCGAAAGAAUGGAAUUGAGGUUGAUGAUGAACAGUUUUUAGAGAACAUGAUUAUAUAUGCAAAUCUUUGGAUUGUUGAUCAUAGUACUGUUGACAACUUUUUUGGAAAGAAAAGAAUAAAGAAGAAUUGGU